RNAcentral lists this transfer RNA (66 nucleotides) under Agrilus planipennis (emerald ash borer). It matches the Rfam family "tRNA". Rfam says of the family: Transfer RNA (tRNA) molecules are approximately 80 nucleotides in length. Their secondary structure includes four short double-helical elements and three loops (D, anti-codon, and T loops). Lineage: Eukaryota; Metazoa; Arthropoda; Insecta; Coleoptera; Buprestidae. The record is from Rfam by way of RNAcentral.
CUUGUAGCUUAGACGUCAUAGCGUUGGUGCGUAAAGCCAAAAGUCCCGGGUUCGAUUCCAGGCAAG